GCCGUAGGGCGCGAGCGUUGUCCGGAAUUAUUGGGCGUAAAGAGCUCGUAGGCGGCUUGUUGCGUCGACCGUGAAAACCCGGGGCUCAACUUCGGGCUUGCGGUCGAUACGGGCGGGCUAGAGUUCGGUAGGGGAGACUGGAAUUCCUGGUGUAGCGGUGAAAUGCGCAGAUAUCAGGAGGAACACCGGUGGCGAAGGCGGGUCUCUGGGCCGAUACUGACGCUGAGGAGCGAAAGCGUGGGGAGCGAACAGG
Molecule: ribosomal RNA, 253 nt
Filed under: uncultured bacterium
Lineage: Bacteria
Description: partial 16S ribosomal RNA
Rfam family: Bacterial small subunit ribosomal RNA
Source: RNAcentral